AAAAUGCAAAAUAUCUCUGCACAUUUUGCCAAUUUCAGAGGGAGACUCAGAGAUGCUAUUGAAAAACAAGUAAAGGGAGACCAAAUUCAAGACUGCAAAGCUUCUGUAAGGCAAAGGACACUGUGGUUAGGACAAAACUGCAACCAACAGAUUGGGAAAAGAUCUUUACCAAUCCUACAACAGAUAGAGGCCUUAUAUCCAAAAUAUACAAAGAACUCAAGAAGUUAGACCGCAGGGAGACAAAUAACCCUAUUAAAAAAUGGGGUUCAGAGCUAAACAAAGAAUUUACAGCUGAGGAAUGCUGAAUGGCUGAGAAACACCUAAAGAAAUGUUCAAUAUCUUUAGUCAUAAGGGAAAUGCUAAUCAAAAAACCCUGAUAUUUCAUCUCACACCAGUGAGAAUGGCUAAGAUCAAAAACUCAGGUGACAGCAGAUGCUGGCGAGGAUGUGGAGAAAGAGGAACACUCCUCUAUUGUUGGUGGGAUUGCAGACUGGUACAACCACCCAGGAAAUCAGUCUGGAGGUUCCUCAGAAAAUUGGACAUUAGCAACCUGAGGACACAGCUAUACCUCUCUUGGGCAUAUACCCAAACAGUGCUUCAACAUAUAACAAAAAGUGCUCCACUAUGUUCAUAGCAGCCUUAUUUAUAAUAGUCAGAAGCUGGAAAGAGUCCAGAUGCCCUUCAUAGAGGAAUGGAUACAGAAAAUGUGGUACAUCUACACAAUGGA
RNAcentral lists this long non-coding RNA (727 nucleotides) under Rattus norvegicus (Norway rat). RNAcentral's name for it is "long non-coding RNA NONRATT009809". Lineage: Eukaryota; Metazoa; Chordata; Mammalia; Rodentia; Muridae. The record is from RNAcentral.